This 1012-nucleotide ribosomal RNA is filed under the name Clostridioides difficile. Its description in RNAcentral is "bacterial LSU rRNA". It matches the Rfam family "Bacterial large subunit ribosomal RNA", at positions 1221 to 2242 of the family's 2925-position model. Lineage: Bacteria; Bacillati; Bacillota; Clostridia; Peptostreptococcales; Peptostreptococcaceae. The record is from RNAcentral.
AUGAUGGGUAGGGGAGCUUCCCAUACGGGUUGAAGCAUGACCGUAAGGACAUGUGGACAGUAUGGGAGUGAGAAUGUUGGCAUGAGUAGCGAGAUGUGGGUGAGAAUCCCACAGGCCGUAAACCCAAGGUUUCCAGGGGAAGGUUCGUCCGCCCUGGGUUAGUCGGGACCUAAGCUGAGGCCGAAAGGCGUAGGUGAUGGACAACAGGUUGAUAUUCCUGUACUACCGAUAACCGUUUGAGAGAAGGGAUGACACAGUAGGAUAAGCUAAGCACACUGUUGGUUAUGUGUGCCCAAGCAUUGAGGCAGUCAAAGCAGGCAAAUCCGCUUUGAUAAUGCUGGGAUGUGAUGGGGAGCGAAAUUUAGUAGCGAAGUAGCUGAUUUCACACUGUCAAGAAAAGUCUCUAUCGAGGUUAAAGGUACCCGUACCGCAAACCGACACAGGUGGGUGAGGAGAGUAUCCUAAGGCCAGCGAGAGAACUGUUGUUAAGGAACUCGGCAAAAUGACCCCGUAACUUAGGGAUAAGGGGUGCCACCAUCCGGUGGCCGCAGAGAAUAGGCCCAAGCGACUGUUUACCAAAAACAUAGGUUUCUGCUAAGUCGCAAGACGAUGUAUAGGAGCUGACGCCUGCCCGGUGCUGGAAGGUUAAGGGGAUCUGUUAGAGCAAUCGAAGCAGUGAACUUAAGCCCCAGUAAACGGCGGCCGUAACUAUAACGGUCCUAAGGUAGCGAAAUUCCUUGUCGGGUAAGUUCCGACCCGCACGAAAGGCGUAACGAUUUGGGCACUGUCUCAACAACAGACUCGGUGAAAUUGUAAUUCCGGUGAAGAUGCCGGAUACCUGCGACAGGACGGAAAGACCCCAUGGAGCUUUACUGUAGCUUGACAUUGGGUCUUGGUACUACAUGUACAGGAUAGGUGGGAGGCUUUGAAACCAGGACGCCAGUUUUGGCGGAGCCAUCCUUGGGAUACCACCCUUGUAGUACUGGGACUCUAACCAUAGGCCAUGAAUCUG